This 363-nucleotide ribosomal RNA is filed under the name uncultured Anoxybacillus sp. Its description in RNAcentral is "bacterial SSU rRNA". It matches the Rfam family "Bacterial small subunit ribosomal RNA", at positions 1018 to 1382 of the family's 1533-position model. The record is from RNAcentral. Lineage: Bacteria; Bacillati; Bacillota; Bacilli; Caryophanales; Anoxybacillaceae.
UUCGGGGGACAGGGUGACAGGUGGUGGCAUGGUUGUCGUCAGCUCGUGUCGUGAGAUGUUGGGUUAAGUCCCGCAACGAGCGCAACCCUCGACCUUAGUUGCCAGCAUUCAGUUGGGCACUCUAAGGUGACUGCCGGCUAAAAGUCGGAGGAAGGUGGGGAUGGCGUCAAAUCAUCAUGCCCCUUAUGACCUGGGCUACACACGUGCUACAAUGGGCGGUACAAAGGGUCGCGAACCCGCGAGGGGGAGCCAAUCCCAAAAGCCGCUCUCAGUUCGGAUUGCAGGCUGCAACUCGCCUGCAUGAAGCCGGAAUCGCUAGUAAUCGCGGAUCAGCAUGCCGCGGUGAAUACGUUCCCGGGCCUU